GCUUGAACGUCUCGUGGCUUAUCCAUAUCGAUGUCUUCAAAAGAUUCUUCUAGUUUU
RNAcentral lists this small RNA (57 nucleotides) under Bombyx mori (domestic silkworm). RNAcentral's name for it is "stem-bulge". The record is from RNAcentral. Lineage: Eukaryota; Metazoa; Arthropoda; Insecta; Lepidoptera; Bombycidae.